This 208-nucleotide ribosomal RNA is filed under the name Enterobacter sp. LR6. RNAcentral's name for it is "partial 23S ribosomal RNA". It matches the Rfam family "Bacterial large subunit ribosomal RNA", at positions 51 to 260 of the family's 2925-position model. The record is from RNAcentral. Lineage: Bacteria; Pseudomonadati; Pseudomonadota; Gammaproteobacteria; Enterobacterales; Enterobacteriaceae.
GAAGGACGUGCUAAUCUGCGAAAAGCGCCGGCGAGGUGAUAUGAACCCUUGACCCGGCGAUGUCCGAAUGGGGAAACCCAGUGCAAUUCGUUGCACUAUCGUUAACUGAAUACAUAGGUUAACGAGGCGAACCGGGGGAACUGAAACAUCUAAGUACCCCGAGGAAAAGAAAUCAACCGAGAUUCCCCCAGUAGCGGCGAGCGAACGG